RNAcentral lists this ribosomal RNA (2786 nucleotides) under Escherichia coli. RNAcentral describes it as "partial 23S ribosomal RNA". It matches the Rfam family "Bacterial large subunit ribosomal RNA". Lineage: Bacteria; Pseudomonadati; Pseudomonadota; Gammaproteobacteria; Enterobacterales; Enterobacteriaceae. The record is from RNAcentral.
UUGUGAGGUUAAGCGACUAAGCGUACACGGUGGAUGCCCUGGCAGUCAGAGGCGAUGAAGGACGUGCUAAUCUGCGAUAAGCGUCGGUGAGGUGAUAUGAACCGUUAUAACCGGCGAUUUCCGAAUGGGGAAACCCAGUGUGUUUCGACACACUAUCAUUAACUGAAUCCAUAGGUUAAUGAGGCGAACCGGGGGAACUGAAACAUCUAAGUACCCCGAGGAAAAGAAAUCAACCGAGAUUCCCCCAGUAGCGGCGAGCGAACGGGGAGGAGCCCAGAGCCUGAAUCAGUGUGUGUGUUAGUGGAAGCGUCUGGAAAGGCGCGCGAUACAGGGUGACAGCCCCGUACACAAAAAUGCACAUAUUGUGAGCUCGAUGAGUAGGGCGGGACACGUGGUAUCCUGUCUGAAUAUGGGGGGACCAUCCUCCAAGGCUAAAUACUCCUGACUGACCGAUAGUGAACCAGUACCGUGAGGGAAAGGCGAAAAGAACCCCGGCGAGGGGAGUGAAAAAGAACCUGAAACCGUGUACGUACAAGCAGUGGGAGCCUCUUAAUGGGGUGACUGCGUACCUUUUGUAUAAUGGGUCAGCGACUUAUAUUCUGUAGCAAGGUUAACCGAAUAGGGGAGCCGGAGGGAAACCGAGUCUUAACUGGGCGUUAAGUUGCAGGGUAUAGACCCGAAACCCGGUGAUCUAGCCAUGGGCAGGUUGAAGGUUGGGUAACACUAACUGGAGGACCGAACCGACUAAUGUUGAAAAAUUAGCGGAUGACUUGUGGCUGGGGGUGAAAGGCCAAUCAAACCGGGAGAUAGCUGGUUCUCCCCGAAAGCUAUUUAGGUAGCGCCUCGUGAAUUCAUCUCCGGGGGUAGAGCACUGUUUCGGCAAGGGGGUCAUCCCGACUUACCAACCCGAUGCAAACUGCGAAUACCGGAGAAUGUUAUCACGGGAGACACACGGCGGGUGCUAACGUCCGUCGUGAAGAGGGAAACAACCCAGACCGCCAGCUAAGGUCCCAAAGUCAUGGUUAAGUGGGAAACGAUGUGGGAAGGCCCAGACAGCCAGGAUGUUGGCUUAGAAGCAGCCAUCAUUUAAAGAAAGCGUAAUAGCUCACUGGUCGAGUCGGCCUGCGCGGAAGAUGUAACGGGGCUAAACCAUGCACCGAAGCUGCGGCAGCGACGCUUAUGCGUUGUUGGGUAGGGGAGCGUUCUGUAAGCCUGCGAAGGUGUGCUGUGAGGCAUGCUGGAGGUAUCAGAAGUGCGAAUGCUGACAUAAGUAACGAUAAAGCGGGUGAAAAGCCCGCUCGCCGGAAGACCAAGGGUUCCUGUCCAACGUUAAUCGGGGCAGGGUGAGUCGACCCCUAAGGCGAGGCCGAAAGGCGUAGUCGAUGGGAAACAGGUUAAUAUUCCUGUACUUGGUGUUACUGCGAAGGGGGGACGGAGAAGGCUAUGUUGGCCGGGCGACGGUUGUCCCGGUUUAAGCGUGUAGGCUGGUUUUCCAGGCAAAUCCGGAAAAUCAAGGCUGAGGCGUGAUGACGAGGCACUACGGUGCUGAAGCAACAAAUGCCCUGCUUCCAGGAAAAGCCUCUAAGCAUCAGGUAACAUCAAAUCGUACCCCAAACCGACACAGGUGGUCAGGUAGAGAAUACCAAGGCGCUUGAGAGAACUCGGGUGAAGGAACUAGGCAAAAUGGUGCCGUAACUUCGGGAGAAGGCACGCUGAUAUGUAGGUGAAGCGACUUGCUCGUGGAGCUGAAAUCAGUCGAAGAUACCAGCUGGCUGCAACUGUUUAUUAAAAACACAGCACUGUGCAAACACGAAAGUGGACGUAUACGGUGUGACGCCUGCCCGGUGCCGGAAGGUUAAUUGAUGGGGUUAGCGGUAACGCGAAGCUCUUGAUCGAAGCCCCGGUAAACGGCGGCCGUAACUAUAACGGUCCUAAGGUAGCGAAAUUCCUUGUCGGGUAAGUUCCGACCUGCACGAAUGGCGUAAUGAUGGCCAGGCUGUCUCCACCCGAGACUCAGUGAAAUUGAACUCGCUGUGAAGAUGCAGUGUACCCGCGGCAAGACGGAAAGACCCCGUGAACCUUUACUAUAGCUUGACACUGAACAUUGAGCCUUGAUGUGUAGGAUAGGUGGGAGGCUUUGAAGUGUGGACGCCAGUCUGCAUGGAGCCGACCUUGAAAUACCACCCUUUAAUGUUUGAUGUUCUAACGUUGGCCCCUGAUCGGGGUUGCGGACAGUGUCUGGUGGGUAGUUUGACUGGGGCGGUCUCCUCCUAAAGAGUAACGGAGGAGCACGAAGGUUGGCUAAUCCUGGUCGGACAUCAGGAGGUUAGUGCAAUGGCAUAAGCCAGCUUGACUGCGAGCGUGACGGCGCGAGCAGGUGCGAAAGCAGGUCAUAGUGAUCCGGUGGUUCUGAAUGGAAGGGCCAUCGCUCAACGGAUAAAAGGUACUCCGGGGAUAACAGGCUGAUACCGCCCAAGAGUUCAUAUCGACGGCGGUGUUUGGCACCUCGAUGUCGGCUCAUCACAUCCUGGGGCUGAAGUAGGUCCCAAGGGUAUGGCUGUUCGCCAUUUAAAGUGGUACGCGAGCUGGGUUUAGAACGUCGUGAGACAGUUCGGUCCCUAUCUGCCGUGGGCGCUGGAGAACUGAGGGGGGCUGCUCCUAGUACGAGAGGACCGGAGUGGACGCAUCACUGGUGUUCGGGUUGUCAUGCCAAUGGCACUGCCCGGUAGCUAAAUGCGGAAGAGAUAAGUGCUGAAAGCAUCUAAGCACGAAACUUGCCCCGAGAU